GCUUUCAAAUCCUCGUCUACAUCAGUUUCCUCGUACAGAUCAGAUCGAGAAAAGUAGCGUCUUGAAGAAGUCGAUAGGCGAGAGCUCCACGAAUCAGAAGCCAUUAAAAUCUUCGAUCAAAAGCUUUUUACAAUAUGUGUUAUGCAGUACUGAUGACCAAGUAAAACGGUGCAGAGGGGCGAUUAUGUAAUUUUAUUUAACUUGCCGGCCUGAAGAUGAUAA
RNAcentral lists this unclassified non-coding RNA (222 nucleotides) under Hevea brasiliensis (rubber tree). The record is from RNAcentral. Lineage: Eukaryota; Viridiplantae; Streptophyta; Magnoliopsida; Malpighiales; Euphorbiaceae.